AGGCUGGACUUGUUACCUUUAAUAUG
RNAcentral lists this non-coding RNA (26 nucleotides) under Cricetulus griseus (Chinese hamster). The record is from RNAcentral. Lineage: Eukaryota; Metazoa; Chordata; Mammalia; Rodentia; Cricetidae.